Mycena polygramma is the source of this 96-nucleotide non-coding RNA. Lineage: Eukaryota; Fungi; Basidiomycota; Agaricomycetes; Agaricales; Mycenaceae. The record is from the annotation of a GenBank genome assembly.
GGCCUUAUGGCGUAUUGGAAACGCGUCGCCCCGAAUUCUCUGGCAUUCGGUGAUCGUUUAUUGGCGAAGAUGUUGGUUCGACUCCAACUAAGGCCC